This 156-nucleotide ribosomal RNA is filed under the name Triticum aestivum (bread wheat). Its description in RNAcentral is "partial small subunit ribosomal RNA". The record is from RNAcentral. Lineage: Eukaryota; Viridiplantae; Streptophyta; Magnoliopsida; Poales; Poaceae.
GCAUGCUAUCUCUAUGAAGAUGAUUCUAAUUCGUCUGAAAUUAUUUAUUAUAGUAGCUGGAACACGAAAUAGAUGGUGUGGAUUAAAAAUGGAACUAUGAUUCAUACUCACUAUUAAGACCUCGCAACUGGACUGAAAAAUUCAAGUAGUUCUUAA